UUUUGUGAGUAAAUGGGUAUAAGUGUUGUCUAAACACUCCUAAUCCAUCGCUAGCUCUUAUAAUUAGUCAAAUGCAUUGGAUUGUGACACAUUUUGACCAUAAAAACACUAACAAAUCUAUUGAGUUGUUCUAAGCAAGUUUUGUUGGUUUUAACCUCUUCUAGGAGGAAAUGGGUAUAAGUGUUGUCUAAACACUUCUUAUCCAUCUCUAACUCUUACAAUUAGUCAAUUGCAUUGGAUUGUGACACAUUUUGACCAUAGAAACACUAACAAAUCUAUUGACCGCUUCUAAGCAAGUUUUGUUGGUUUUAGCCUCUUUUGGGAGGAAAUGGGUUAUAAGUGUUAUCUAAACACUUCUUGUCCAUCCCUAACUCUUAUAAUUAAUCAAUUGCAAAUUUUUUUGGUUUUAGCCUCUUUUGGGAGACAAUGGGUAUAAUUGUUGUCUAAACACUCUUAAUCCAUCUCUAACUCUAUAAUUAGUCCAAUGCAUUGGAUUGUGAAACAUUUUGACCAUAGAAACACUAACAAAUCUAUUGACUGCUUCUAAGCAUAUGUUUGUUGGUUUAGCCGCUUUUAGGAUAAAAUAGGUAUAAGUGUUGUCUAAACACUUCUAAUCCAUCUCUAACUCUUAUAAUUAGUCAAAUGCAUUGGAUUGUGAUACCUUUUGACCAUAAAAACACUAACAAAGUUAUUUACUGCUUCUAAGCAAUAUUUUGUUGGUUAUAGCGUCUUUUGUGAGUAAAUGGGUAUAAGUGUUGUCUAAACACUCCUAAUCCAUCGCUAGCUCUUAUAAUUAGUCAAAUGAAUUGGAUUGUGACACAUUUUGACCAUAGAAACACUAACAAAUCUAUUGAGUUGUUCUAAGCAAGUUUUGUUGGUUUUAUCCUCUUUUGGGAGGAAAUGGGUAUAAGUGUUGUCUAAACACUUCUUAUCCAUCUCUAACUCUUAUAAUUAGUCAAAUGCAUUGGAUUGUGUCACAUUUUGACCAUAGAAACACUAACAAAUCUAUUGACUGCUUCUAAGCAAGUUUUGUUGGUUAAGACUCUUUUGGGAGAAAAUAGGUAUAAGUGUUGUCUAAACACUCCUAAUCCAUCUCUAAUUAGUCGAAUGCAUUGGAUUGUGAUACCUUUUGACCAUAAAAACACUAACAAAGUUAUUUACUACUUCUAAGCAAUAUUUUGUUGGUUAA
Molecule: small RNA, 1189 nt
Filed under: Arabidopsis thaliana (thale cress)
Lineage: Eukaryota; Viridiplantae; Streptophyta; Magnoliopsida; Brassicales; Brassicaceae
Description: ATSL036900
Source: RNAcentral